AUCUACGUCCAUACCACUCUGAAAGCUCCCGAUCUCGUCUGAUCUCCGAAACUAAGCAGGGUCGGGCGUGGACUUGAGUGGACUUGGAUGCGAGACCGCCUGGGAAUCCCGGGUGUUGUAUGCU
RNAcentral lists this ribosomal RNA (124 nucleotides) under Myotis brandtii (Brandt's bat). The record is from RNAcentral. Lineage: Eukaryota; Metazoa; Chordata; Mammalia; Chiroptera; Vespertilionidae.